Molecule: ribosomal RNA, 468 nt
Filed under: uncultured bacterium
Lineage: Bacteria
Description: partial 16S ribosomal RNA
Rfam family: Bacterial small subunit ribosomal RNA
Source: RNAcentral
GAUGAACGCUGGCGGCGUGCUUAACACAUGCAAGUCGAACGGUGAAGGCGGAGCUUGCUCUGCUGGAUCAGUGGCGAACGGGUGAGUAACACGUGAGCAAUCUGCCCCUGACUCUGGGAUAAGCGCUGGAAACGGCGUCUAAUACUGGAUACGAGCUGCGAAGGCAUCUUCAGCAGCUGGAAAGAAUUUCGGUCAGGGAUGAGCUCGCGGCCUAUCAGCUUGUUGGUGAGGUAAUGGCUCACCAAGGCGUCGACGGGUAGCCGGCCUGAGAGGGUGACCGGCCACACUGGGACUGAGACACGGCCCAGACUCCUACGGGAGGCAGCAGUGGGGAAUAUUGCACAAUGGGCGAAAGCCUGAUGCAGCAACGCCGCGUGAGGGACGACGGCCUUCGGGUUAUAAACCUCUUUUAGCAGGGAAGAAGCGAAAGUGACGGUACCUGCAGAAAAAGCGCCGGCUAACUACGUG